UUCGAAAUACAAGUGGAGAAAACAAAUUUUCUUCACUUGUGCCCGCCUCUGUCUGUCAGUCCAGCGCGCCCGCUUCACUUGCGAGAAACCGCCGCCUGUCCGCCGAAUUUGAAGUCCUUUUAGGAUACUUUUCUUUAAUAAACGAUUACCUUGUGGGAGUAGCUGGACCAAACUCUAUUGGUAUUUCAAGUUUGAAAUCCCUGUUUGACCAGACCAACAUUUCAGAUGAGUUAAUAGAUGGCCUAAUCUAUUUGCAUUGUGAGAAUUUCCCUUACAUUUAUCCAAUACCAAGCCAAAUCACUGGAAAAAUUUUGGUUGGGUCCACAAGAGCACAAAGUGCAUACUUUUUGAAGGUAUGACUUGGACUGUGGUAACUAUGUUCUUAUCACAAAGGGUUUAUAAGUUGCCACUAUAAACAAACAGCAUUUUCCAAAAUUUAAGCCUUGUCAGAAGAACCUGAAAAAUACCUUUCUGAAACCUUUUCUGUGUAAAGACUUGCUCAAAAGCAAUGCACACAGAUUAAAAUAUUUCUGUCUUGGCCAUCUGAUAAAGAACACCAAAAAUUGAGUGGUCUUGAUUUGUUUCGUACACACUAUAGAACUUAAUUAAUGUAAACAAAAAACGACACUUUCUAUAUAUUUGUGUAACUGCAGAAUUAAUUACAAGUCUCACCUGACAAGCUUUCGCAAUUUUGCAGUGUCAUUCUUGACAGAAAAACAUACUUGUCACUAGGGCUGGGCGAUAUGACCCAAAAUUCAUAGCUCGAUAUUUUUUAGC
Neolamprologus brichardi is the source of this 777-nucleotide non-coding RNA. Lineage: Eukaryota; Metazoa; Chordata; Actinopteri; Cichliformes; Cichlidae. The record is from RefSeq and is a predicted model, not a curated record.